Carassius gibelio (silver crucian carp) is the source of this 1176-nucleotide long non-coding RNA. RefSeq lists it as uncharacterized. NCBI's taxonomy places the organism in Eukaryota, Metazoa, Chordata, Actinopteri, Cypriniformes, Cyprinidae. The transcript has 3 exons. The record is from RefSeq and is a predicted model, not a curated record.
ACUAAGUUAUCCCCAUUGCAUUUAGAGGGGGUCCCCGUUAAAAAUCGCCUUCAAUGAGUAAAAUACAUGUUUUUGGCGAGUUCCACUGGUUAAAUUCGAAUACCCACGUCACUUCCACCUGUGGACAAGAAAAACAACCCGCGGCAAGUAGCCCAAUUCCGCGGGAAAACUGCGGAUUUGGAAACACUGCACCUCAUGUACUAAACCUUGACAGUAGUGGUAACAAAGCUGAGAUAAACGCAUUUGCUAUUAAACAUUUAGCUUACUUUUACAAAUCUGUGAGCUCUUUUAUCGAGUGUCAUGAUUCAAGUGCAGUGCUGUACCAGGACAUGACAUCACUCGCCGGGGUCACGACCCGCCGCCGACUCAACGAUAGAGAAAAAAAAAGAAAAGGAAAGGGGUUAGAGAUGAAGACGGGAAAAGAAAGAGUUGGGAAGUGCUGCUCUGUAGGUCACCUUGCCUGGCUGAGGGAUCAAUAUGGCUUUGACUCACUGGUUAAAGAGAGAGAGAGACUGCAGCCAGACACCUUGCCAGUAAAUCACCUCGCCAGCUUCAUUGAGAUGCAGCUGUGAGCCCACAUCCUGUGUGCUGUGACAAUGAGAGGGAAGCUUGACUCACUCUUCGAAUUAUUUGGGGGCUGAUAAUAGUGAUGGCUUGAGAGAACGAACGAUGGGCCUGAAGAGAGAAAGAAGCUUGGAGGAAACAAAACCAAGAUGUGACACUGAGAAGCAGACCGUUAUAUGAAAUCUUGAGUUCAGACAAUGUCUAAUCAUAAACUCAUGAUUUUUUUUUUUUUUUUGUGCUUAAUAAAACACAAACAGACCACACUCAUUUGUUUUGGUGAACUCUUAAGGGAAAGCAUCUGCUAAUGACAUUUCUGAGGUAACUAUAGGCCUGAGUGAUAACUGGUAGAAAUCAAAUAAAGGUUAUUAAUUGUUAAUAGUCUGUAAGCACACAGUCAGGUUAUUCUUAUCCAAAGAAAACAAGAAUUUAAUCGAACUGACAGUUUGUGUCAAUGUUCAGCGCGCUUUGGUAAAUCUGAUUUCGAGGCGAAUCUGUUUGUCAGAAUCACAGUCGCGCGGAAUAGCAGUUAUUUAAAUAGCAGUUUAAGCAAGUCUCACGAAAUGAAUGAAUGAAACUAAACCUUGAUCAGAUGUGUAUAAACUAUGCGCUGGA